This 253-nucleotide ribosomal RNA is filed under the name uncultured bacterium. Its description in RNAcentral is "partial 16S ribosomal RNA". It matches the Rfam family "Bacterial small subunit ribosomal RNA", at positions 524 to 776 of the family's 1533-position model. The record is from RNAcentral.
UACGUAGGGUGCUAGCGUUGUUCGGAAUCAUUGGGCGUAAAGCGCGUGUAGGCGGUCAGGUAAGUCUUGUGUGAAAUCCCUCGGCUCAACCGAGGAAGUGCAUGGGAAACUACCUGGCUGGAAGACGGUAGAGGAAGGUGGAAUUCCAAGUGUAGAGGUGAAAUUCGUAGAUAUUUGGAGGAAUACCGGUGGCGAAGGCGGCCUUCUGGACCGUUCUUGACGCUGAGACGCGAAAGCGUGGGGAGCAAACAGG